AGGUCUGUCUGUGGUGGUUCUAUAUUGAUGUUUUGCUUACUGUGUUUUCCCAUAAAACACACCUAAAUGGAUAAAGAGGGCUUGUGCUGCUUGUCCUACAACAGGCAGUUGACAGGAACAAACAUAAACCAACAUAAACUCUUCGGCAGUAUUCUCGCUGCUUUGCUGUAAUACAGGAUAGAAUUUCACAAAAAUUGGUCUAACUAGGAGCGAACAAAUUAGCCAAUUGCAUAGUGGUCAAAUUUGCUACCACAGGCAUUAACUGCAGUCCUACUUAUUUAUGAGAAACAGGCUUCCCAGGUAAAGCCAUAACAAGCCAAGCUCACGCCUCCUGCAGCAUUUGAUCACCCACGUUGUCAGAGCAGCACAGCAGGCACCACGAGUUCCUGGCCAGCCACUACCUCCAUUUCUCACAGUCACAUUAUCUUCUAUGUAACUGGAAAAAGGCUGGAUCCCUGUUGUUCUGAAACCUAUCAACAACACUGGGGAAGGCAAAAGGAAUUCCAAUUCUUUUUCCUUUCCCAUAUCUAUUUUUCUUCCUUUUCAGGAGAGAAAACAGGUUUUCCAAGCUGCUAGUACAAACAUUAAAUUGCUAAAAACCUGCCAACAUUGUCUCCAACUAUAGUAUCAGUGAUGUAACUUCCAUCCAUGAGGGUUUGGGGUGCUGGUUUGGCUCUGCUUUUGCUUCUUUUUUUCUUCCCCCCCCCCAACAGAAAACCUUUGGAGCCCAUAAAAGUGGAAGAGAUUUGGGGCAAAGGGCAAGCAACUCCCAAGAAAAGUUAUGAAUGGAACUAUGCUACAGAGAGCCUUGCCUUUCCUUUCUUGUACAGGAGAAAUCAUUCAGAUGUUGCAAAAACUGAUCCAUUAUCUUUUGUGGGUUUCUUAAAAUAAUCUAAAAACAGAAUUGUACACCAUAGUAAGAUCGCAGAUUUAUUUCAUCCCAGAGAGCACAAAACAUUCUCUGUACAUAUACACAGCAACUCACUUCUUUCCUGAAACAAAGUUUUCAUUGAUCCUUUGCCACACACUCAAUUAUUGUUUCUAAUCAUGAUCGUUUAUUUAAGGUAUUGUGAACUGUAAACAAUGCAAACAAUGCAAAAUAAAAGCAUCUGUCCAUGUUGACAUGAAUGUAAUUGGCAGGUUAGAUACCUAUAUCAACUGGUCCCAAAGGCAUUCUUCUUAAAUUCAGAAAGCCCAAAGUAAAUUUAAAUUACAAUUUACAGAAUAAUCUUGAAAUCAGCCACUUUUCAAGGUAGUGUUAUCUUGUAUAGAUAAAACUCACAAUCUGUCAAUUCAAUCCCAGGAAAUGCUUCAUUGUUUUAAAAUAUAAUCCUAAAGACAUUUUUUUUUUGAAAGCUUCUUUCUUUUUUUAAUGCAGUGGAUUAUGCAAAAUUCGUGGUCCUCCUUGCAACCAUGGGGGGAAAUAAUCUUCCUCUCGUAAUGUAGCAAUUACAGAUACAUAUGUAAAAAGAGCAGAAAUCAAGGCACUUUGAAACAACACUUUAAGAAAAUACUUGACUAUGGGAUAUUCAGGGGAUUUCAAGUCAGGUUUUCCAUAGUCUCACUGUAAAAAUAAGCAACCUUUUCCUCCUCCUGUUCCCCACCCCAAACUCUGAGGAAAACGGCCACCAAAUGCACUCAGCUAGCCUCAAAGUCACACGUGCUCCAUUGCAGAUCUUGCUUUCAAUGUCUCUUUUGUUUGAUGGCUGGUGUUUCAACAUCCUCAGCUUGGAACAGAGAAAGGUCAGAGCGAGUCUUCUGGCAUUCACAAACCUGCACCAGGCCCCGCCAAGAGAAGAUUGAUGCCAUAGUACAUUUUCCCCAGUCAAGAGAAGGAAGUGGAAGCUCUGAAUCCACGACAAACUAUGUUCGUCAGAGGGAUUUGUUUCCCAAAGGUGUUUAGCUUUGCUACAUUCCUUUGUGAAACUUUUCUGCUGGUGCUAGUAAUGUUUUUGAGUUACCCACUGUGCCAUGUUACUGCCUCAGUAUCGUAACCUGAACAGGUUCCCAGCAGCAAGACAUUUUAGCCAUACAUUCCAGCAUACAGCCUUUUAAAAAAACUCCCCUCCAGAUUUUGCUUCACCCCUACGUUAUCCCCACUGCCCUCCCACCUGCUGCCCUCGCCUUUCCUCCCUUGCGUGGGGAGGAGAGGCUGCACCAUUAAACUUCCACGGUGCAAGGCCAAGGUCCCUUCCACAGCCAGAGAGAAGCUGUUGCUAAAGGUUCCUUAAAAGCUUUGGCACUUCACGGCAGUUGGAACUACUCAACCAGAGCUGGGAGCCAAAGCUUUGCCACAGCAUUAAUGGGCUUUUGCCCUUUUAAAUUUUAUAAGCCUGUCGCCUUUCUGAUGCGCGCAGUUUUAUUCACAGCCCUAAAUGGCCAUUUCAUAUUUAAAAGAAAGCUUCCAUAGGUAGCACCCUAAAACUACCCCAGGUCAUUCAUCACCCCAGCACUCCUACUGUCUCUUAGGAAACCUUUGAUAGAGCAUUUGUUCAGGCUGCCAAGUUAAAUCCUCUUCUCUCGUGUCAAUGCAUUGAAAAAAGCAGUCAGAACACCAGCUUCACUCAGGCCUGCUGAAGUAAAUGGAGAAAACCAAUUCCUCUGGCACUACAGAGCCAUUAAGCCGUUUGCAGAUUAUUAACUGAAGCACAAAAAUACACACGGCGCACAAUCGGACGACAGAGCAGAGCUAUGCCUUGAGUUCGCUUCGGUCCCGAUAAACUGACGAUACAGCCGCAAUUUGCACCAAGUCACGCAGCUGCCGGGCUGGGGAGCGGGACCCCGGCAAGCCCAGACAAAAGCGGCGAUGCGGGGUCCCGCUGCCACGGCCGGGCAGGUUCCACCUUUAGCAAAGGCGGCGGUGGGGGCUGCGCUCCAAGGGGCACCCCCGAGGCGCCGCCCCGCGUCUCUCAUCGCAGCCUCCGAGGCGGCACCGAAAUUAAACUUUGCACGUGCAAAACAAAGUUUACAGUCUAAAACCCCGAUUAUAGUAACAACUUCCUCCCCCUGUCGCAGGCUGCCGUACUCCUUCCCCGCUACCGCGCCAGCCCAGAAUGCUAUCCCGAGCCCCGCGGGGGGGUGGGGGGGACAAGAGCGUGGCUGGAUGGCUCCUAUUUUUAUGUUUACAUUCCUGAAGUGUCUUUUAACUGGCUGCCAUUCUCCCUCUCCCCGCGAGCAGCUCCGCCGGCCGCCCCUGGAAGCGCUUCCCCCGCUCCCCUCGCACAAAGGCGGGCGAGCCCCGGCCGGGUCGGGCCGGGCAGGGCAGGGCACCCCCGGCCCUCUGCCCCCGCGCCCCCUCCCCUCCGCCCGGCGGCUUCCUGGACAGAUGCACGGGGGGAGGGAGGGGAAGCGGGACGGAGGGGGGCUGCUCCUUCCUCCUGCCCGGCGAGAGAGGCCCAGGUCCCAACUGGCUCUCAAAACCCAGACGCAAGGAAUGUACACCCAGGCAAGCUUCCCGGAGCCCCGAGAACAGGCGCAGGCUUCCCCACGCGUCUGCCGAGCCCCGCACGGGCGGCCGGGCACGCACGCCCCGAGCCGCAGCCCCGGCCCCGCUGCGGGGCUCCUGCCCGCCCCGGCGGAGCUCGCCCCGGCCGGGGGCAGCCGCCGCCCCGGUCCCCGCAGCCCCCUUUGUGCUUGCGGCGGCUCCGACGCCCGCCCGCCUCCCGCCGCGGCUGCUCCAAGUUCGCCCCGGGCCGGGUCCCUCCGCGACCCCGCGGCCGGCCCGGGAAGGGCAUUGCCCGGCUGGAGCCGCUUCCCCGCCCGGGCCCGGCUCCGCGGCUGCUCGCUCGCCCGCGCCCCGCGCCCUCGCCGGGGACAGUCUGCCCCUUUAAGAAGUCUCCACACAUUUUCUCCCCUUGCAGAAUAAAUAUGUUGUUGUUUUCUUUUUUUUUUUUUUCCUCCCUGUACACCUUUUUCCCCAGCGUGGCCGCUCCAUUGUUUCUGCUCCGCCGAGACGCAACCCCUGCCCGGCCGCGAACGGGGAGGUGCGAGCAGGGAGCGCAAAUAGACGCGAAACUUACCUACGGAUUGCAAAGCAGCCUUGCAGCAGCAAAAUAAUAAGGAAGAAGGCAGGCAAAAUCCUCUUUCCCAACUGAUUUGCAGCUCUACUCGGGGGAAAACCACCCUGGACACAGCACACUCUCAAGCAUGAGGUGUCUCCGUCUCUGUCGUCUUCACGAGAGAAUUUUUACGGGCAUGGAAGGAACUACCGGGCGGGCAGGGGGAUUACAGGGGAACGCCGAGACAUCCUGCUGGCUCCGUUAUUGCACUUUAGCCCCCCACCCCCCUCCAUUUAUUGCCACCACCCCCACCCUCGGGGCGGCUGUUAUUUUCGGAGCCCGGAGCUCCCGCCACCCAGGAAAUCCAGCCCGAUUUCCAGGGAGAAAAUAAGAAGAAACCGUCCUUGUCUGACGAGCCCCAAUCUGCUAAAAAACAUCUCCCUCGACUUCUCUUCCCCUUGAUAAAACACUUCCAGGACAAUCAAUAUUUUAUGAUGAGUUGUUAAUAAGCCUAAUAUAUUCAUCCCUGCUCCAACGGGGCUUGUUAGAUUAUGCAAUUAAGAUAAGCAAUUUAAACAGCACUGUGUAGCUUCUCGCUGGUCACAUUCGUCUUGUUGUUGGAGGAGGAGAACGACCGGGACUGUAAAGGGAUGUCGGAUCGCUCGGGGAAGGGGAAGAUUGUCUAAUUUUUUCUUAUUUUUUCCAGCUGCGUGCAGGCGGAACGGAGCGCUACCGCCGCCGGUGCCCCCGCGGGGCUGCCCCCGUCCGCCGUCCGCCGCGCUGACCUGCGCGGGGCUGCGGCCCCCGCCCCGCUCAUUCACGCCUCCGUGGCUUCCCCGGUGAAAAGACCCCUCUGCCCGCCCUUCCCCGUGUGCCUCGGGGCGCGGGGGUCCCUGCGGGCGCUGCGCCCGCGGCCGCUCCCAGCGCGGAGACGGAGCGGCGGCCGCCCGGCCCG
Molecule: RNA transcript, 4953 nt
Organism: Passer montanus (Eurasian tree sparrow)
Lineage: Eukaryota; Metazoa; Chordata; Aves; Passeriformes; Passeridae
Gene name: translation initiation factor IF-2-like
Exons: 3
Source: RefSeq, a predicted model, not a curated record